CGCCGCUGGUGGCUCGGCGGGCGCGCUGCGCGGGGACCGGGAGCCCGGCCGACUCCUCCCUCUCCGCCUCGCUCGCCUCGGGCUCUCCGCUCUUCCCUUUCUUCUCCCUCCACGACCUGCGUCUCCCCCUCGCUUCUCUCCAAACGCCGCCCGCAGCAGGCUGCUAGCAGAUAAGGCGCGCCCCAAGAGCCAGGUCGUGGGCUCCGCGGGAAGAGGGCGCCCGGCGACCGCGCUGAGGGCAGCUAGGGGACCCGACGAGGUGUGAGCCGCAGGUACUUACGCGGCCGUGAGCGUGCCCUACGUGCGGGGCAUCGUGGUGGGGACCUUCUCCAGGUAUUCUCCCUCUUAAGUCACCCACCAGCGAAUGGUUCAGGCACUGGAGAUGCAAAGAGGAGGACAGAGGGACCCCUGCCAUCAGAUCUCCUAAGCUUGGUGGAUGGGGAAGGUCAUGACCGAAUGCUGUGGAAGAGGCUCACCAGGAUGAUUUGCGAGCAGCGAACGGCCUUUGGGGGAAGAACACAAAGCCUGUGAGAAGUGAGCUGGUCCCAAGUUGCGAAAGACUUGCUGGAUGAAAAGUGGGUGUGGCAGUUGGAUAUAGUUAUGAAUUCCAAAAGUAGAUACUGGAUUGUGUUUGUAAUCUGGUCUGUACCUGGGCGUGAUUAAGUUAUGAUUCGGGCUUUGAUUGGGCCAUGACAUUUGGGUGUUGAUGAAAGGCAUGGCAAAGGAGAGAGUUGGGGCUUUUUGAUGUUGGAGUUUGAUGCUGAAGCCUUAAGCUGGAGCCCUGGGAAGUAAGCUCACAGAGGAAAGAGCAGCCAGCCCUGGGAAGAGAGGAACCCUCAACCCAGAGAGAAGCAAGCCCAGGAACGUAGGAACCCAGGAAGCCUGAACCCUCGCAGACAUCGGCAGCCAUCUUGCUCCAACACGUGAAAAUAGACUUUGGUGAGGGAAGUAGCUUAUGCUUUAUGGCCUGGUAUCUGUAAGCCCCUACCCCAAAUAAAUACCCUUUAUAAGAACCAACCAAUUUCUGGUAUUUUGCAUCAGCACCCCUUGGGCUGACUAAUAUGGGGGGGGAACAUUCUAGAGAGUGAGGCAACCAACAGGCCAACUCAAGGGGGAAGGGACUGAGUGGAGGUCAGGACAUGACCAGGAUCCACUGAAGGACACAAAGCAGAACAGGGCACAAUCGAGCUGGGGACUCAGAGCCAUCACUCAGGCUCCAGAGUGAGAGGAUGUGUAAUGGAUCCUGGGCACAGAGGGAGCUCGACAGUGGAGGGAGGAAGACUGAGCUGAGGCAGCAAUUGUGGGAAUGAAGGUGAACGAGUCAAACAGAACACUUCACGGGGUAACAAGGAGGUGAAAUCUCCUGGGCCUGGAAGCUCAUUGAUAUGGGAGCUGAAUGAGGAAUGGAGAGGUCUGAUCUCUCAGUGUGGAGCAGUGGGGAAGCUGAGUGUACGUACAUGUGCACAUCAACUCUGUGGGUUCCAUUUCUUCAGUGCAUGGAAAGAUAACUCUAGCCAAGCAUCUAUUGUGAGCUUCGAACUCAUAGUGCUUGUGCACAAUGUCUGUUGAUUAUCCUUCAUCUUCCUUGUGCAAAACCCUCUUAACCCCUGAAUAGCACAAGCUCAUGGUUUGACAUUUUAAAGCAGUU
Molecule: long non-coding RNA, 1648 nt
Organism: Dasypus novemcinctus (nine-banded armadillo)
Lineage: Eukaryota; Metazoa; Chordata; Mammalia; Cingulata; Dasypodidae
Source: Ensembl